AUUAGAAGGCGGAGGCGCUUGGCGCGCGGACUGGAGAGGGGACUCCGCGCUGGCCCUGCUGCCUGGGGCGCCCCCGCCUUCCCCGCCAGGACCCGCGUGAAUCCGAGUGGAGCGUCGAUCUCUGCGGACAGAAGCCGGGAGGCUGCCCCGGAGGAGGCUCGUGCAGCUGCCGUUCGCGGGUCCGGUCCUGGGCAUGUGACCUGCUGACUGACAAGAUACCUCGUUUUACAUACACAAUCCUGCCACUGAAAUGAGCUACACACACUCCUUUUGAGAGCAGAAAAGGGAUUUUAAACACUCAAGGAUACAUCCAAAAAAAAAGAAAGCAGAAGAAAGAAAACAGAAGAAAGCAGAAGAUCCAUUCAGAUUCAAAUUCUGAUCCCUCUGCACAGUCAUGGGUGGGGCCUUCCCUCCUCCUCACUCUCCUAGCCGUCACCUGCUGAAACAAAGAGAGAGAACCGGUCAGAGCCUGAGACAGGAAAGGAGUUCCCUUCUCAAGGGCAGCACAGAGGGACUCCUCUGAUCACAGAAGAACCACGAAGCCGCCCUGCUCUGGGUGACUGAGUCCUGGGGAGAGACGGCAGGCAGAGCCCUUGCUGUGUCCCUCUAAGGUCUCAAGCCAGCAGCAACCUGGCCUGCUCCCAAGGGUUUCUGCCCGCCUGACAAGAUCAUCGGAGGGGGCUCUGCUCCGUGUGCCAACAGUGAGAGAGAUUCGGUUGCCGAGUACGUGGGACGGGGCCUUCUCAGUCAUGGCCCCCAGGCUUUGGAGUGCUUUCCUGGUUGGCGUCCGCUCCUCCUUGACAGUUUUUAGGGACAGAGUAACUGGGCUCUUCACCUGGGCUUUUGAAUGAAAAGUAUUGUUUGACUACUGCCACUUUGUGUUUUAUGUAUUAUUGUUUUUUAAUGGAUCAUUAAAUGUUAUUUAUAUUCUU
Molecule: long non-coding RNA, 932 nt
Organism: Hemicordylus capensis (graceful crag lizard)
Lineage: Eukaryota; Metazoa; Chordata; Lepidosauria; Squamata; Cordylidae
Exons: 4
Source: RefSeq, a predicted model, not a curated record